RNAcentral lists this long non-coding RNA (8903 nucleotides) under Lactuca sativa (garden lettuce). RNAcentral's name for it is "long non-coding RNA (LSAT_LNC001591)". The record is from RNAcentral. Lineage: Eukaryota; Viridiplantae; Streptophyta; Magnoliopsida; Asterales; Asteraceae.
UCGAUGACCAUCUACGGAGGUCUAUGGUUACUAUUUAUAUUAGGUUAUACCUUUCGCUUAUUGCGAUGUUGUGUUACUCCUAGUACCCAGCAAUGACACUUACAUUAUUACUUUUUCUGGACAAUUUUCGGAUGUUCAUUAGGUUACAUAUUUUGCUUAAUGCGAUGUUGUGUUAGUCCUAGUACCCAGUGACCACACUUACAGUAGUACAUUUUCUUUUUUACUUUAUUUUGUGAUACUUUCACAUAAACGAUGAGUUAGACUAAGUACUUUAGUACUAAACAAUUGAAGGAAAAACUAUCAUUUUACUAACAAAACAUUCGGGUCUUGGUAGAAGACUACAUUUUCAUAACAAAACAUCCGGGUCUUGGUAGAAGACUACAUUAUUAUAACAAAACAUUUUGGUCUUGGUAGAAGACUACAUUAUGAUAACAAAACAUUCGGGUCUUGGUAGAAGACUACAUUAUUAUAACAAAACAUUCGGGUCUUGGUAGAAGACUACAUUUCAUACUUACAGACAACAAGGGAUUUUCUAGGGUUUUUCAUACUUACAGCAACACUUUCAUUAAAGGUUUGCAUGGCCUUCAUAAUAGAUUUUCAUAAGCCAGACAAUGACACUUAAAUACUUAUAUAUUCACCAGCUUUAAAGCUGAUACUCGCUUUCAAAAUAACUUGUAUUCUCAGGUUAUCAGUUAGACAGGUGCGAUGGUCAGAUUUUUGAGAAGAUGGAGCACAGACAAGACUCGCCUUAUUUUGAUUAUUCAUAUUAUUGUUGUACAUUAUGAAAUAACACUCAUGUAUUAAUACUUACUUAUAAUGCAAUGGAUGAUGUUUUUUCUUGUUUAUUAUAUUACAUUGUUGUGAUAGUGUACAUGACAUCUUCCACCCCUGAACGUUUCCGUCGUUCGUGGUUUUGGGGUGUAACAGAUUGGUAUCAGAGCAUUGUUUAUAGUGAAUUAAGUAUAUCCGCCCAUAAAAGAUAUACUAACUAUAAACACAUUGGGAUUAAAACACUCUAUCUAAGAGUUGAUACCUUUAAAUAAUAAAAUAUUUAACAAAGUAUACGUGCCUGCAUUCAUACUAAAAUCAGUGUCACAACGACAAGAGAAAAAGUAUUACGAUUGUUGAAUAUCACAAGUAAGCCUAGGGAUAUAUGGUCAGUCUUGGGAAUGGCAUAGCCUAAUCAACUAUGUUGUUCCGAGGAGUGAUUAAAAUAUGNUUGUGAUAUGGUAACAAGUCUAAAAACUUUCCAACACAACCAUAAAGGAAUACCAUAAGGGUAUUUGGUCUUAUUGUAAUUAUCUUAGUCAGUUCGUCUAUGUAGCUAUUUCUUAUAUCCCCAAAUUCUCGCGUAGAUAACAUGGCUGGAUUCCACCCCCACGACAACCUGUUCCUUCCGAACGCGGUUAUUGCUGGAUGGUUUAGAGAAGAACCAGUUAAGUUGAAGACCUUUCAUAUGAUGCCAUCUCCGAACCCGAGGUUGAGAACCUACCCCAGGCAGCUUCCUUUCCGAUUCCUAACCCUCGUCCGGCUUUUCAUGGCCCGACGCCUGAGUGGGUGGAAUGUUUGGAAAAGUGGAGCCAAGGACAAGAUCGGCCCAUGCCAUUUAAUGGUGACCGAAGCUUCUAUGACUUGAGCAAUGGGGGCUCAGCAGACAGAAGCAUGCCAAUUCUGAUCCAAAGAGUUGCCCGAAACGAAAUUCAGGGCAGGACAGCUCUACAACGUAUCGCAGAAGUCGAUACAAAUGGAGGAAUGCAUAUGCUUCGCACGAGUCGCCUUGAACAUGCUCAUGAGAGGUCUGAAAGAGACCAUGAAACCCUGCUGCAAGCACUGGCUGAAUCACGAGCCGAAGUCAUGGAACUUCGGGUACGCCAGAGAGUGUACGAAAGACACCUACUUGAUGUGGAACGCCAACUGGCUGAACUUAGAGUUCGCCAGAGGGAUGACCGUCACUAGUAGUAGAUAUUUUACUUUAUUUUCCUUGUUAGAAAGGAAUCGUCUUUCUAUCUAUGCCCGAUGUGGUAUUUUCUAUGAAACUAUCUUGUACUGUAAGUACUUUAGUUAGGCCCUUUAUGUUGUCGAGAACUAUCUUCUCUGGAUAUGAUGUAAGACCUUUUACAAGGUCAUUUUCCUGAACCUGUACGUCAUGAAUAUCAAAGAUAUUGACAGUCGGCUAACUUCUGAGUCAUUCUUUAUUCAAAUACUCUUAUCAUACUUUCAUUAGAGUCUAUUUGAAACAUGCUCUAGUCAAGUCAUUGGACUAUAGCCAUUUAACUCCGGACACAUGUCCAAGUCUCUGGUAAUGGUUGGAUCAUGUUAUUCACCAACCAACAAUACCUCAGCUCGAAUAACAAACAUCUUGAGACCGUUUUAAGAACUUACUUCCAAUCUUUACUAGGACUGCAUCAUAGGGAUGUAGGUCGAACUUACCUAAACAUACUUCCAUUCCGUACUAGGACUGCAUCAUAGGGAUGUAGGUCGAACCUUAGAGAACAUACUUCUAUUCUUUACAUGAUCGAUCGAACUACGUCUAGGUUCAACCAUUUUCGCUCACAAAUUCAUUUUUCUUUCGGUGUAACAGAAUCAUGAAUCCCAAAAAAACGAUCAGCCCAUCAACCCAACACCAACGCUUCAGAUUGAUGCAGCUACCUUUCAAGCUGCAGUCUCGGCUGCCGUGUCAGCUGUUAUGACCCACCUGAACGCUAACAACGCAAGUGUUAGCAGGAUCGCUAUCAAUCAUUCCAAUCCAAGUAACAAUCCAACCCCGCAACGACCAACAAACUACCAUGGUACCCCGAGUGCCGAGGCCAAGAGUAACAGCCAGAAGUUUUGGGCCAAAAGGAAGAACAAGUCGCUUCGAAGGGCAAAUAAGAACACAGCUACGACAUCUGCACUUCCUACUACCAUUCCUUCUGGUGCCCCAAUUGUCCCUAAACCAGCCAAACUUUAUGCUGGAAUUCUCCCAAAAUGCAUUAAAUGCAGUUUUCACCACCAUGGACUUUGUUGGGAGAUGCAGUGCUCACACUGCAACAGGAAGGGGCAUACAGCUCGUUACUGCAAGACUCUAACAGCUCAGCCUGCCCAAGUGCCAAACACCAGUGUGAACCAGGUUUGCUACGGCUGUGGCAAAGUAGGUCACUACAAAAGGAACUGCCCAGGGGCAGAAAUUGCUGGCACAGACGAAAGUCUACAACCAACCACCGCCGCAGGAGAGUCUACUUCGGACCCACGUUAAUGUAAUUUAGGCGUUUCGUUGUAACAGACUUAUGAACCAUCCCAAAUCUAGUGCAACUAGAGUCUUAUCUUUUGCGGGAUCCUGUCGGUAUAAGGAUGCUCGUGCUGCAUAUACUUGUCUUUUGUAGUAUAUCUGAUUCGCAGCAAUAGUCUUGUAGCAAAUCUAAAGUACUGUAACUCUAAUCAUGGUUGCACAGUUGUUUUUGUCUGUAAACAUUUUAUGCUCAAAUCCAAUGUCUUUAAGUUUCUGUAUGAUUCCGACAUUAUCAUACGACUCGAUUCAAUUCAAUCCUCGCAAUACCAGCUUCAUAAGUACAUCUCUUUCUUAGUAAACGUCUUUUAGCGAAGUUGUCAUAUCAGAACACCGAAGUACUCAUACAAGGAGUACCUUAUAGUUCUUUUCCUUUCCGAAGGAAUCCCCACAGUAUUACUCGUGCAGUACGUCAAGUUCAAUUCCAGGAUUCAUACGGUUCAUCUAUCACUGAAGAAGGUAUACAAGAGAGUGAUAUAUAAUCAAAGUUCUACAGGUUUAGAAUUGAUGAUUCCACUUUAAUUUCUUUUCCCGCGAUGGGAUGUGAGAUUAAGAAAGAAUCAGUUAUUCAACUACCUUUUCAGUCUUAAUUAUAUACGACUCGUAUACACGAAAUUGUGAUCCUUGAAUCACGUAUGAAUUCUAAUAUGAACUUCAGGACGGAGACUGUCCAGGAGUACGAGUAAUUCCAUUGGCAUAGGAACAAACUUAGAACCCAGUAUGACUCUUAGAACCAGAUCGCCUUCAGUCUAAACACCUACGGAAGAUACAAGAACAACCUGGACAACACAACGAACUACUCAACCAUAGAAUAUGAAGACCAGGCUUCUCACCCUUGAGAGCUCUAGUCUUAUUCUUACCAGAAGUCGACGGAGUGCAUCAUAUGUACCUCGACGACCAGAGACUUCGUUUAGAUUUCCUUUAGAAAUCGUUAUCUCUGCCUCGCUUAGAAGAACCGAUUGAGCAACCACAGGGAAAGUAUUACUUUCAGAAAUGGACCUGAAAUCCAAAUAUCACCAGUUCGAGUGUUAGGGAAGGAUGUCCUAAAGACUACCCUCCGAACUCGAUGCGGACACUUCGAGUCCGUAGUGAUACCCCUCGGAUAGGACCAAUACGCCCAUAGUAUUCAUGAGCUAAAUGAGUGGAGUACGCCUUUCUUACUGGGAUCAGUUCGUCAUUUCUCCAUGUAAUGACUUACUUAUCUACCCUCGUAGUAAGAAAGAACCCAUAGAAACAUUACCCUCGGAGAUGCUUUUCGCAAAGUUCUCUAAUCAAGAGUUUUGGAAUUUAGAGUCAAAUUUCCUGAGACACACUAUUAGUGUUGUGGAAAUUCUUGAGUACUCUGUCAAAUUAUCCAAAACCGUUGGGAAUUUGUCGGCACCGUAGUCACCGACGGAAAAUUCGCCAAAUUCUAGGUCUUACAGACCUACUAUCAUAGUCCAUUCGGAACUCCCCACAAAUUUCAAAAACCCUUUCGACUUUGACCCAGCAAGGGAUGGCCCUUGACUGGGAAGUAAGCGAGAGAAAGAACAUUUGGAAUUCCAAGUGAGAGACCAAAUUCUUUAGGAAACCUCACUCUGGGAACGGCUUAAUACGCUUCGUAAAGCGUGGAAAGCUAAAAUCCAAUAUAGUUAGGACCUCCGAGAUUCUUACCAGAAUCGGUCCUGCAUUUCACAAACUAGACCUACUCCGCGAACUCAGUAACGUACAUUUUCCCCUUCGCGUCUCGAACUUGAAACAGUAUCCUUCCAUUAGGACUUUCGUAAUCCCUCUCGACGAGAUCGAGAUUUACGAGAUCCUUGCCUUCGUAUUAGAACCGUAGUGACCCUCGACCGAGUGGUCAAGCGGACGAAGCAACGCCGUCGCCCGUUAGUGAAGGUUCGUUGGGAUACCAACCGAGAACCCGAUUUCACUUAGGAGUACGAGAACCAACCGAUUAGGAAGUUCACAUAACGACUCGAUCAUUCGUACAUACUUCCUUGCCUAAAUUCUAAUUUCGGGACGAAAUUCCCUUUAACAGGGGGAUGAUGUGACAACCCGAAAUUUCCAUUCUGAACAAACCAUAUCAAGCCAAUAGAAGUUAGAACAGUUUCAGCAAAAUUCCAAACUUUGGGUAUAAGUUUGGCAGUUUUCAGGAUUUACACUUAAGGAGAUAUCAGGAGAGUGGUUGCACUAGGGUUUUGUGCAACACUGUUAUUCCAACACUCGAUUAUAUUAGAAAUCAUAUCGGGAAUAAAAAUAUUUUGCUGCCAAAAUAUCUCAGGACUAUAAAUAGAAUUCUGAACCAAAUUAUGUCAUUAUUCGCAUUUCCAUCUAGAGAAAAGCCAUUUUCUCUCUCACGGAUCUUCGGGUUUUUAUCCCAAAUCGUGAGUACACUUCUCUAGUUGUCUUAUAAUGCUUAUUAUGUGCUUAAUAACUUAGAUUACAUAUCAAAUCUGUGAGAUUCGGGAGUUUACCGCCCAAGAACGUUCUUGGAGAGUAAACUCCAAAAUGAGGCUUAAAUGCUACCUAGUCUUUUCCCCAUGUUAGGUAACUACCUUAGGCUUGUAUAUAAGUGUGUUUGAGACUGGAAAACAAACAAAACCCAAAGAUUCGGGAGUUUACCGCCCAAAAACACUUGGGGAGUAAACUCCAUUUUAAGGGCUAAAGGUGUCCCAAAGUCCCUUAAAGCCUCAGAUCUCAAACUAGAAGCCUACAUCACAUGUUUAGACCACCAAAUCAAUUAAUAUUCAAGGGAGAAAGAGAGUUCACGGCCCAAAAGGUUCUAGGGUCGUGAACUCCAAUAAAUGGUGCCAAAUGGUGCCAUAAUUCCUCCUAAAGCCUUGAACAAUUGCCUAGAACCUAUCCUAUAUGAGUAUGGGACUUGAAAGCAUCAAAAACAUCAUUCCAAGGGAGUUUACGGCCGUAAACUCCAAGGGAAUAUGGUCCCAGGUCCGUAAACUCCUAAAAGGAGUUAUAUUAUGCCCUAAACUCUUCCAUAGACCAAGCCAUUAAGUAGAAAUGCUUAUUAGGGCCUUAUAGAGCAUCAAACAUCAAAUGGUAACAUAAGUGUGAGCUUNCAGCCGUCAACUCAAGAGUUUACUACCGUAAACUCCAUGUGUGAUGGUAUAUGAGGUGUAAAUUCAUAUAUGGGGUCCUUUGGAACCCUAAACACAAGUGCCUUGUCCCACAAUAGCUUAGAUGCAACCCUAAGGGCUUAAAACACUUAUAUAAAGUGUUUAUUUUGUCUAGGAUGUAUUAACAUUAUUAAAUAGUGAUUUGAGACUAAUUGAGUACAUAUAUGUGUGAAUAUAUGUUCAUUAGGAUCGUAGUGUGUGUACAAGUCCUCACUUGACACCUAGCAAUCCUACGUCGUCCAGUUCAUCCGAACUACCAACAAUAGGUGAGUUCAUACCCCUUAAUCAAUGUUUUAAAUGAUGUUAAAUGUUUUAAUGGGGGGGAAUACAAGUAGAAAACAGUAUGUUAUUAAAUCAAUCUUAUGUAUUUUGUAACUAUGUUUUCACUCAGUAGAUUUCACAUAUUUCAAAAGGUGACACAUGAAGUGGUUUUCUAUCUUAAAAUACCUUGAUAACAAAAGUAUUAGUUUUGAAAUGUUUAUUAAAAUGACAUCAAGUCAUUCUUAAUUAUUGUUCAAAACUCCUAGAUAUCUUGCAAAACCAUUAUUUUACCUUCUUGAAUCAAACUAUACUUAUGCGCAUAUGUUCAUUUAUAUGUUAGAAAUUAUAGUUUUCACCCUUCAUUUAGUUUCCAAUACUCUUGGGUAGCAAGAGUGCAUAAAUCUACUUAAACAACCAAUUACCUUCCAGUUAGCUAUCAUAGGGAUAGUCAGAAGAUAUCAAACAUUAUUACUAUUACAAGGAAUCACACAAGAGUCAGUUCAUUCAUGAGUCUAUACCAAUACCUUACAUGAUACAUGAGUACACGUACUUAGGAUUACAUGAUACAUGAAUAUGUUUACAUAUACUUACCUGUUACAUGAACACACUUACAUGAAUACCAUACAGGAACACUUUUACAUAGGUGCAUUAUCCUGUAUUCACUUACCUGGAUACUUGUACUUAGGACUACGAGGAUGAUUUAUUAGUACUUUCUGUGUAAAUUAUCUUUCCUAUCUCGGUUCAAUGGGAUAGCUCGGCGGGACUUACCAUUCCGAACCCCACUGAUUAGCACCAGUGGUCGAUGACCAUCUACGGAGGUCUAAGGUUACUACUUAUACUAGGUAGAUCGAUAACCGGGGCUAACCCCUCCACCCACCUACUGCUGCUACAGAGGACAAGUGGAUAAUCUUCGAAUGUUCAUUAGGUUAUACCUUUCGCUUAUUGCGAUGUUGUGUUACUCCUAGUACCCAGCGAUGACACUUACAUUAAUACUUUUUCUGGACAAUCUUCGGAUGUUCAUUAGGUUACAUAUUUCGCUUAAUGCGAUGUUGUGUUAGUCCUAGUACCCAGUGACAACACUUACAGUAGUACAACUUACAUUAAUACUUGUUCUGGACAAUCUUCGGAUGUUCAUUAGGUUACAUAUUUCGCUUAAUGCGAUGUUGUGUUAGUCCUAGUACCCAGUGACAACACUUACAGUAGUACAUUUUCCUGUUUACUUUAUUUUGUGAUACUUUCACAUAAACGAUGAGUUAGACUAAGUACUUUAGUACUAAACAAUUGAAGGAAAAACUAUCAUUUUACUAACAAAACAUUCGGGUCUUGGUAGAAGACUACAUUAUCAUAACAAAACAUCCGGGUCUUGGUAGAAGACUACAUUAUUAUAACAAAACAUUUUGGUCUUGGUAGAAGACUACAUUAUGAUAACAAAACAUUCGGGUCUUGGUAGAAGACUACAUUAUUAUAACAAAACAUUCGGGUCUUGGUAGAAGACUACAUUUCAUACUUAUAGACAGCAAGGGAUUUUCUAGGGUUUUUCAUACUUACAGCAACACUUUCAUUAAAGGUUUGCAUGGCCUUCAUAAUAGAUUUUCAUAAGCCAGACAAUGACACUUAAAUACUUAUGAAUUCACCAGCUUUAAAGCUGAUACUCGCUUUCAAAAUAACUUGUAUUCUCAGGUUAUCAGUUAGACAGGUGCGAUGGUCAGAUUUUUGAGAAGAUGGAGCACAGACAAGACUCGCCUUAUUUUGAUUAUUCAUAUUAUUGUUGUACAUUAUGAAAUAACACUCAUGUAUUAAUACUUUACUUAUAAUGCAAUGGAUGAUGUUGUUGCUUGUUUAUUAUAUUACACUGUUGUGAUACUGUACAUGACGUCCUCCACCCCUGAACGUUUCCGUCGUUCGUGGUUUUGGGGUGUGACACUAGCCAAACAAGUGUUCUACAUUCGUGGGCCUAUUAAUCAUCGAAGAAACCAAAACAAUAACCCUUGUUGUGUCGGCGAGCAUGUUAAUUAUCGAAGUAUUUGGGAUCUACCAUCCGAGAAUGCUCAUUUCCAAAAUGUUUACAGUGACUCUGUCCAAGAUGUCGACAAUCUGGAGGCCGAAAAUGUUGGCAUAGAUAAAAAAAAACUCUUCAUCUGGAGCUAGACUUUUUAUCGACUUCUCACAAUACUUUCAAAACAAUGUUUAUGUAGCUUAAAAGAAUGUUGAUUAUGACGAUGAGGACGAGACCGAAGUACCUCCGCUAACGGGUCGAAUUG